This 1908-nucleotide unclassified non-coding RNA is filed under the name Monomorium pharaonis (pharaoh ant). RNAcentral describes it as "serine/arginine-rich splicing factor 2-like, transcript variant X1". The record is from RNAcentral. Lineage: Eukaryota; Metazoa; Arthropoda; Insecta; Hymenoptera; Formicidae.
GCGGAUGUUCCACCAUUGUCGUGCGGUCGUGGAGGAUCCACCAUUUUCUUUUUGUCGCUUGCUUCGGGGUUUGUCGAGUUCUCAGUUCCAAAGAUCGGGACGAUCUUUUUGUUACGAUCUUUCAACAGAGGUAUAUCGCGUGUUCUAUCACGAAGAUCAAAGACGUGACGCACAGGAAAAAAUGAGUUACGGUAGACCUCCGCCACGUAUCGACGGGAUGGUUUCCCUGAAAGUCGACAAUCUCACGUACAGGACGACGCCGGAGGAUCUGAGACGCGUGUUCGAGCGGUGCGGCGAAGUGGGCGACAUUUACAUCCCUAGAGAUCGCUUUACGCGUGAAAGCCGUGGUUUCGCGUUUGUUAGAUUUUAUGACAAGCGCGACGCGGAAGAUGCAUUAGAUGCCAUGGAUGGAAGACUGUUGGACGGCAGGGAACUCCGAGUUCAAAUGGCACGGUAUGGACGUCCAACGUCUCCGCAUCGUAGUCGUGGAAGUCGUCGUCGUGGAAGAUCACGAAGCAGAAGCAGAGACCGCAGGCGUUCGCGAUCCCGAUCCCGCAGUAGGUCACGUAGCCGUGACAGAGAUCGCAGGCGCUCUUACAGUCGCAGUCGUAGUCGCUCACGUUCGGACAGCAAGAGCUCACGCGGUAAAUCACGCUCGCGCAGCAAGUCUCCAGACAGACAAAAAGACAGUCGUUCCAAAUCCAGAGACUGAGCUGAUUGAAGAGUGUGCGAGAGGAUAACAAUGAGUGACCAACGCGUAUCCAACGAGUGCCGAAUAAUCUAUGUUGAGAUUGAGAAAGAAAAAGGCGGUGGAAAGGAGUGGCGUGGCGUGGGUGUAGCUGAUGAUGGGGUAGCUGAGAGUAAGCAGUAAGCCGAGUAGCAGGGGGCUGUAAGCAGUUUGCAGUAGCGAGAGAGAGCGGUGUUGGUGGUGCGGUGCGAUGCAAUGCGGUGCAAUGCGGCGCGGUGCGACGCGAUGCAUUCCGUUCCGGUACGAUCGUCUGGUGAUCCGGUGGUUCGUUGAAAGCGGGUUUACAAAUGAUUAGGGAUGAAAAAGAAAGAAAGAGGGAGAGACAGAGAAAGAAAGAAAGAGGCAAGUAGAGAGUGAUAUCGAGCGAGUGAGAGAGGGGGGAGGGGAGAAAGAGAGGGAGGGGGGAUAGAUACUAGAAUUCAUCUGCAAGUUAUAAGAGUCAUCGCGAGGCCACUGCAAACUUCCUCGGGUGACUUCAUUGGGGAUGCACUGUGUCCGGGUGCUAGCAUCGCAUGGCCUGGACUGUUAUUAGGUCUCUCGAACAAACAGGCGACUGAUUCAUAGAACGUAUUCAUUGCUCGAUCAUCGAUAAAUGGAGUCACAUGUUUACGGUAAACUAUAAUAGAUUAUAACGCAUCAUUGUGUCCGAAGUAUGGCUUUAAAAUGAGUAUAAUUAAGAAAACAUGUUUUUAUUCUAGCUUGAAUAAUUUGAAUGAAAAAAAAACUGCUAAUUUGCAGAUAAUUAUUAUUGAUGAGAUUAUUGAGUAUUCACGCAGUGUUGCGUGAAAUGUUGGAUAUAUCAAACAGACUUUAGAGGAUUUUAACAUCAAUUUUUUUUAAAGAAAUUAUUAUUUAUUGUAAUGAAAAAAGUCAUUUAUCACAACUUUUUAAAUUUUUUCAAACAUACAUUUUUAUAAUUAAAUUUUAAAUUUAAAUUUUUCGCAAUAUAAUUCUUUACAGUAUUUAGAGAAAGGGGAUAAGAUUUUUGUUAGCACAUUAUUAUUAAAUUAAUUAUCAAUUUUAAUCUUGUAAGGCCCAAGUUUGUUAUAAAAGUUAUAUAAUUUUUCUGCUUAAAUUAUCUAUUUUAUAUUUCUGAUUAAAAGUCACAUCGGUUAUAUAAUGCAUAAAAACGAGAAAAAUACAGAACAUUUUUGAGUGAU